UCAUAGUACGUGAAACCGUUCAGGGGUAAACCUGAGAAACCCGAAAGGUCGAAUGGGGAGAUUCAGCGUGUCACGUCGCAGGAGAGUUUCGGUCGAGUGACGGACCGGUGCUUGCACCGGACUGCGCCGUCCGGAUCCGCAACCUGCGGCGAACUCGUGCACUUCUCCCCUAGUAGGACGUCGCGACCCGUUGGGUGCCGGUCUAAGGCCGACGGCGUAGACUCGGGGGGCGUCUUCGGGCGUCCAUCGAGACCCGUCGUGUCCCGACCGGCCCGCUCGACGGUAAGACAGAGGCGUGGGGUCGCGAACCAGUUCGCGUCCGGCCCGUCACAAGCACGCGCGAAAUGCUCGGAAUGUCGGACCUGUGUGCCGGCCCCGAGCUCGCACGGCUGUUGGUGACGGUGUCCUCGGACAGGCCCGAUACACGUCGGUCGGCGACGCUUUAGCUUUGGGUACUUUCAGGACCCGUCUUGAAACACGGACCAAGGAGUCUAGCAUGUGCGCGAGUCAUUGGGACCGCAUCUAAACCUAAAGGCAAAAUGAAAGUGAAGGCCGCCUCGCGCGUGCCUAGGGAGGACGGGUCGGGCCAUUCGGCCCGCGACCCCGCACUCCCGGGGCGUCUCGUUCUCAUCGCGAGAUGAGGCGCACCCAGAGCGUACACGCUGGGACCCGAA
Molecule: ribosomal RNA, 674 nt
Filed under: Pseudolathra caffra
Lineage: Eukaryota; Metazoa; Arthropoda; Insecta; Coleoptera; Staphylinidae
Description: partial large subunit ribosomal RNA
Rfam family: Eukaryotic large subunit ribosomal RNA
Source: RNAcentral